CACGUAUUUAGCCGGGGCUUCUUAGUCAGGUACCGUCAUUUUCUUCCCUGCUGAUAGGGCUUUACAUGCCGAAGCACUCCAUCGCCCACGCGGCGUCGCUGCAUCAGGGUUCCCCCAUUGUGCAAUAUCCCCACUGCUGCCUCCCGUAGGAGUCUGGGCCGUGUCUCAGUCCCAAUGUGGCCGUCCACCCUCUCAGGCCGGCUACUGAUCGUCGCCUUGGUGGGCCGUUGCCCCGCCAACAAGCUAAUCAGACGCGAGCCCAUCCUGCACCGUAUUGCUUUCCACACCGCCCCAUGCAGGGCUGUGCGCCUAUGCGGUAUUAGCAGCCGUUUCCGGCUGUUGUCCCCCAGUGCAGGGCAGGUUGCUCACGCGUUACUCACCCGUCCGCCACUAGGCAGCGCCAAUUUCCGCUCCGAAAAGUUUCCAUCGGCACGCCCCGUUCGACUUGCAUGUGUUAGGCACGCCGCCAGCGUUCAUCCUGAGCCAGGA
This 489-nucleotide ribosomal RNA is filed under the name uncultured Eubacteriales bacterium. Its description in RNAcentral is "uncultured Clostridiales bacterium partial 16S ribosomal RNA". Lineage: Bacteria; Bacillati; Bacillota; Clostridia; Eubacteriales. The record is from RNAcentral.